GUGUCAGCCGCCGCGGUAAUACGUAGGUGGCAAGCGUUAUCCGGAAUUAUUGGGCGUAAAGCGCGUGCAGGUGGUUUCUUAAGUCUGAUGUGAAAGCCCGCGGCUCAACCGUGGAGGGUCAUUGGAAACUGGGAGACUUGAGUGCAGAAGAGGAAAGUGGAAUUCCAUGUGUAGCGGUGAAAUGCGUAGAGAUAUGGAGGAACACCAGUGGCGAAGGCGACUUUCUGGUCUGUAACUGACACUGAGGCGCGAAAGCGUGGGGAGCAAACAGGAUUAGAUACCCCUGUAGUCC
This 292-nucleotide ribosomal RNA is filed under the name uncultured Bacillus sp. RNAcentral describes it as "partial 16S ribosomal RNA". It matches the Rfam family "Bacterial small subunit ribosomal RNA", at positions 505 to 796 of the family's 1533-position model. The record is from RNAcentral. Lineage: Bacteria; Bacillati; Bacillota; Bacilli; Caryophanales; Bacillaceae.